RNAcentral lists this non-coding RNA (94 nucleotides) under uncultured Bulleidia sp. Its description in RNAcentral is "pemK RNA". It matches the Rfam family "pemK RNA". Lineage: Bacteria; Bacillati; Bacillota; Erysipelotrichia; Erysipelotrichales; Erysipelotrichaceae. The record is from RNAcentral.
AUAAUGGUACUUCUGUCCAGUCACAGCCCUGGGUAACCGGGAUAAAGCAAUGAGGGCAGUUCGGAGAGAUCCUCGGGAGGGUGAAAUGCCCAUG